AAAAAUUAUAAUUCGGCUCAUCUCUAUCCCCAUCCCCACCCUGACUCUUUCACUUCGUCUUCUCCGGUCUCUGAGUUUUGUGAGUUUCGCGUUACCUUAGCCACUUCUAAUCAAUCAAUGAUAUUUAAACUCUUCUUCAGUGUUUCGUUCCACAUCUCGGUGAUUCUUCAUCCUUCAAAUCCAGAUGUUUCAUGAUUUAUCAAACACUUGCUACAAAUUUAGGACCAUACACACAAACCCCCACUACCCCAAACCAAGUUCGCUGCAGUUCUUACUUUUCCGUCAUGGCUAGCCUCGAUUGUGUCUUCCUAAUUUACAUUGACAAUAUGCAUCUUUGCCGUUUUCUGAAGAGUUGUUCUUUUCAGGUUCUUAUUGCAUUGCCUCCAAGGGAAAAAAAAUCAGGUUUGCUAAUAAAUGGAACAUCUCUUUCAUCACAUCAGUGGCGGAUCCAGAACCAUAAUUAAUCGGGGGCACCUCAAUAGAAUAAUUAACUCAUAUAAAAGAAAAAAAAGUUUCAUAACUAAAAGUAUCUUACAAAUUUAUUCUACAAGAUUCAUUAUUCUAGAAUCUUUUCACUACUACUUCGUUUGUUAUUUUCUCAAACAAUUUUUUUUUCAACAAAAACAAAUAACAUAAUCAUUUAAAAACUGAUCACUUAUCCGGUUCCGCAAACUAGUCUUCACGAUUUUCAUCACUGAAAAACAUCUUCCACAUUUGUUUUCAGUGUAAUCUCUAAACAAGUAGCAGACCAAACAAAACGCUUUAUCCUUUUUUACUAUAUUCUAACUAAUCGUUAUAGAGAUCAAAUCAAGCGAGAUUGAAUUGUCUCAGUUUACUUUUAAACAAUGUUUUAGGAAAUUCAUGACCACGAGGUUGACAAAGAUCUCUCAUAAGAUAUUUGCGUCUUACCUCAUCUCUCUGAUUUAAAGGAAAUUCGGUUAUAUCCUUUUCCUAUCUCCAGGAUCACUAGGUAAAUUCUCCAAAUCAACUUCAACGUGUUGUUGUUUGGAGAAGACAAAUCAUCUUCAGAUACAAUUUAACUUAUUUUUCAUUUUAAUUUUUAAUAGAUUAAAUGAUUAAUAGAUUUGGAGAUAUAAUUUAAAAAAUAAAAAACAUUAAUUUGAUUAUUAUUUUAGAACUUUAGAUACAAUUUUUGCUAAUGCACAAAACAAAAGCUUAACAUGUAUAUUAUAUACACUUAAACUAUGUAUAACGUUAAUAAAAAUAUUUUGAAUAAAAUGAAAGGAGUAAACUAGAAAUAUAAGGUUAAAUAUACAUAUGUUUGGAUAUUUUCGGAUAUCCAUUCGGGUUCGGAUAUUACUCGUUCGAAUUCGGAUAUCCAAUCUCUCUUGAAUCAAUACGAGUUAGGAUAUUUUGAUACUUCGAUUCGAAUUUCGAUUCAGAUUUUUUGGAUCGGGUUCGGGUGUGGCUUCGGAUAUCGAAAAAAGUAUCCGCCCAUAGUUAGUGUCGUGAUACUAGAUUAAAAUUAAAAACUUCCAUUAUUAACUUUUUUUAGUUUUGAUUGGGUUUUUUAAAACUAAACUUAUCUUGGGCUACAUUAGACUUAUGUACAUAUAAUAAUUGUGUUCUACAAUUCUUACUUAUCCUUCAAUUUUAUAUAUACAUAACUAUUAUUAUAUACAAUUUUUUUUUUAAAGUAGUAGGGGGCACGUGCCCCCGUAGUCAACAACGUCCAUCCGCCCCUGCAUCACAUGAUCUUAGUUGGUUCUUUCUCUACAAUCAGCUGAUUGCUUCUUGACUUUUCUACGUUGGCUUAUUGAAACUCAUAUUCAGGAGCUGGAUGAGGAACUGAAGCUUCUCAAGAAUCACUCUCAACCAAAUAUAGUUGUAAGAAAUAAAAGCUUUCUGUAUUUCUUACUAUGUCUGGUACAUGCUACAUGGUCUUUGUUUCUUUUUAACUCUCAUUCAAAACCACUGAAAAUUUUGUUUCUUUAUAACAUGAAACAUGAAAACAAGAACUUGUGGUUGAUUUAUUCGUAGAAAUCUGUGUUUUUGUAGACUUAUGGUCCAUGAGAGAGAGAGAGAGAGAGAGAGAGAGAGAGAGAGAGAGAGAGAGAAGGUUUUCCAAUAAGCAGCUAUUCAUCCGUCUCUGUGAGUCUCCUCUUCUCAUGAAUGUUGGGAGAAUGAUCUUUUUGAUGGAGAAGAGCAGCAGGAAGAAAUAAUGGAUGUUAUCAGUGAGUAAGCGGGAGCAUUGGCCACGGCUGACGGAACCAAGAGCUUGAAUUAAAGUUUUAUCUAAAAUAAUGCUCAUCAGAAAUUUUUAAAGAUUCAUCUAUGAAGAGUGAUUGUUUUAAAAAAACAUCAGCUGUUGCAGCGGAGUAGGUUGUGGUUCUGGUUGUUAAAGACAAGAGUGAUGGUAAGAAGUCAAAGAAAACUAGAAGGCUAAGAAAUACGAUGAAGAUCAAUGAAAAAAGAGGGUGGUUGGAUAAAAAAGGAGAGCGCAAAAUUCUAAGAAGGUUGUGAUUGGACAUUUGAGGUCUCAUAACAGAAGUAACUAUUAAAUUAUUUUCACCUCCUGCAUUAUUUGUCGAGGCUGGAGGGGUUGUGAUUCCGAGACCGAACUCUGUUUUUGUUUUCUUUGGUGGUGGAGAAAAGAAAAACAUUGUUUGAUAUACUAAGCGUUCAGAUUCUAGACUCUCCUUACAUAAAGUAAAUUUUAGUAUCAAAGUUCUUAAACAAAGUAAUUUCAAACAAGUGUAUAUUUUCUAAUUUACAUUUCAGGACUCUCCCGUGUCUACAUACUAAAUAUUUUAUAGUAUUCAGUCUCCUUAGACCAUCUGCAACAGAGGUUCAAGAGGAGUCCAUAGCCCAAAUCCUUAGGAUUUUUGAAAUAUAAUAUUAAUAUUUGGGCUAAGAUUAUCACGGAUCAGUCCGUAAAUAGGGGUUUGAAGGACUCGAUCCUUAGUGCAGGUGGCAUGUUGCCAUUGGUGGGGAAAGUAUUGGUCGCUGAUGAAAGGAACAAAGAGUUCGAUGUCGAGGAGAUGAAGAUCGUCUGGGUUCUCGCCAAGCUUUUGAGUUUCCGAUCGAAUUGCCGCCUCGUCGCCUCCGAUCCGAGGAAGAAGCAGGAAUGAUUGAGUAUAAUACUUUGUUAAAGUCUCUAAAGACUCGACGAGAUUCUUUGCGUUCAAAGCUGAGUGAGCUAUUGGAAGCUAAGGUUUGUGUCAGCCGAAACAGAGUCGUAGCAGCUUCGAAAGGAAGAAUUUGCCUCCUUUGGGCUAUACAGAAGUGAUUGAUGUUGAGAUUGUUGAGAACGUUGCGGCUAUGGAACAGAGUAGUGAAAAGGAAGAGUCUUUAGACGAUGCCAAUCCGAGAGACUCCUUGACCUGUCUCUCUCUCUCUAUCUUUCUUUUUGUUCAAUUUGACACUGAACAGACCAAAGCAGCUGAAUGCUCUCUCCUUCCAAAUGGGUAACUCUGUUUUUGAGAAGAUGUCAACCGUAUCCAAGACUAAACCAAGAGACAAGAAGGUUGUGAAUGAUUCACACAAGGCACCAAGCAUAGGUGAAACUACUGGUGGUGCUUACAAUCUUCUUUUGGAGACCGUUGAGUUAACCGGUCCCUCAUCGCUUCACAACAAUGGUCGUUUCAGAAACAUUGAUGACUCGGAUUCAACCGGAGCCGACUGUGAUUCUGUCUCUAACAACGGUAGCUGGUCAGGCGAUUCGGAAGAUCGCAAAGAGAAAGCAGCACCUUCCACAGCUACCGCGAAGCAAGAAACCAUCUCCGGAGCAGCUGAUAAAUGGAUUAAGUUACAGAGACGCAACUGCAGAUGAAGAACGUGAGUACUCUUGAUUUUGGAAGCUUUCUCUUUUGAUUUUGUUAGAACUAAUUAGCUUCUGUUGUAAUGGCAAGUGUGUCCAAUAGUUAGGAAUAUAUAGACAUAUCAAGAGUGAACUAAUUAGCUUCUUUUGUAUCA
Molecule: long non-coding RNA, 3936 nt
Organism: Raphanus sativus (radish)
Lineage: Eukaryota; Viridiplantae; Streptophyta; Magnoliopsida; Brassicales; Brassicaceae
Exons: 6
Source: RefSeq, a predicted model, not a curated record